Molecule: ribosomal RNA, 279 nt
Filed under: Escherichia coli
Lineage: Bacteria; Pseudomonadati; Pseudomonadota; Gammaproteobacteria; Enterobacterales; Enterobacteriaceae
Description: partial 23S ribosomal RNA
Rfam family: Bacterial large subunit ribosomal RNA
Source: RNAcentral
GGGUUGUGAGGUUAAGCGACUAAGCGUACACGGUGGAUGCCCUGGCAGUCAGAGGCGAUGAAGGACGUGCUAAUCUGCGAUAAGCGUCGGUGAGGUGAUAUGAACCGUUAUAACCGGCGAUUUCCGAAUGGGGAAACCCAGUGUGUUUCGACACACUAUCAUUAACUGAAUCCAUAGGUUAAUGAGGCGAACCGGGGGAACUGAAACAUCUAAGUACCCCGAGGAAAAGAAAUCAACCGAGAUUCCCCCAGUAGCGGCGAGCGAACGGGGAGGAGCCCA